Molecule: ribosomal RNA, 498 nt
Filed under: uncultured bacterium
Lineage: Bacteria
Description: partial 16S ribosomal RNA
Rfam family: Bacterial small subunit ribosomal RNA
Source: RNAcentral
GAUGAACGCUGGCGGCGUGCUUAACACAUGCAAGUCGAACGAAGCACUUUAACUUGAUUUCUUCGGAAAGAUUCUUAUUGUGACUGAGUGGCGGACGGGUGAGUAGCGCGUGGGUAACCUGCCUCAUACAGGGGGAUAACAGUUGGAAACGACUGCUAAUACCGCAUAAGCGCACGGUAUCGCAUGAUACAGUGUGAAAAACUCCGGUGGUAUGAGAUGGACCCGCGUCUGAUUAGCUAGUUGGCGGAGUAACGGCCCACCAAGGCAACGAUCAGUAGCCGACCUGAGAGGGUGACCGGCCACAUUGGGACUGAGACACGGCCCAAACUCCUACGGGAGGCAGCAGUGGGGAAUAUUGCACAAUGGGCGAAAGCCUGAUGCAGCGACGCCGCGUGAACGAUGAAGUAUUUCGGUAUGUAAAGUUCUAUCAGCAGGGAAGAAGAAUGACGGUACCUGACUAAGAAGCACCGGCUAAAUACGUGCCAGCCGCCGCCGUAA